RNAcentral lists this non-coding RNA (224 nucleotides) under Marinobacter salinus. The record is from RNAcentral. Lineage: Bacteria; Pseudomonadati; Pseudomonadota; Gammaproteobacteria; Pseudomonadales; Marinobacteraceae.
CUUGCCCCACUUUUUUCAGGUGUCCGUCGCACAGCGCGACGGGUGAAACGGGAAAUCGGUGAGUCUGGCUGCCCGCCAGCGCAAUUCCGAUGCUGCCCCCGCAACGGUAAGCAGGAUAACGGCAAUCUGACGCGCCACUGUGCUUAUGGCAUGGGAAGGUGAUUGUCCGGGAACCAUAUGUUCCGCCUGCAAGCCCGGAGACCGGCCUGGAAAAACACCCGAAG